UGUACGUUCACACCAACGACUAUGAGAUAGAGCGUGAUGCACGAGUAAUAAGGUACAUCCUUAUGAGAAGACAAAAAGAAAGGAUUUCAUUCACCCCACAAUUGAUGAAUUGAAUGAAGCUAGGAAGUACCACCGGGCUUGUAACCCAAGUGGUAUCCGAUUUAUCAUGAAACCAUUAGUUCGGUGGUUCAAGCCCCCGCACCUACCAAAAAAAAAAAAAAAAAAAAAAAAAGAAUGAAGCUAGGAAGUAAAGGUGCAUGGUAUGGAGACGACUUCAUGGUUAUUUCAAAGAUUCUCUGACACUAUGCUAUAGAAUCCAAUUCACGAAGAUAGCAAUAAUUUGUACAAUGACAUUUCUUGUU
Long non-coding RNA from Quercus robur (English oak), 362 nucleotides. RefSeq lists it as uncharacterized. The record is from RefSeq and is a predicted model, not a curated record. The transcript has 2 exons. NCBI's taxonomy places the organism in Eukaryota, Viridiplantae, Streptophyta, Magnoliopsida, Fagales, Fagaceae.